Molecule: ribosomal RNA, 465 nt
Filed under: uncultured bacterium
Lineage: Bacteria
Description: partial 16S ribosomal RNA
Rfam family: Bacterial small subunit ribosomal RNA
Source: RNAcentral
GAUGAACGCUGGCGGCGUGCUUAACACAUGCAAGUCGAACGGAAAGGCUCCUGCUUGCAGGGGUACUCGAGUGGCGAACGGGUGAGUAACACGUGGGUGAUCUGCCCUGCACUUCGGGAUAAGCCUGGGAAACUGGGUCUAAUACCGGAUAGGACGAUGGUUUGGAUGCCAUUGUGGACAGUUUUUCGGUGUGGGAUGAGCUCGCGGCCUAUCAGCUUGUUGGUGGGGUAAUGGCCUACCAAGGCGUCGACGGGUAGCCGGCCUGAGAGGGUGUACGGCCACAUUGGGACUGAGAUACGGCCCAGACUCCUACGGGAGGCAGCAGUGGGGAAUAGUGCACAAUGGGCGCAAGCCUGAUGCAGCGACGCCGCGUGGGGGAUGACGGCCUUCGGGUUGUAAACUCCUUUCGCUAGGGACGAAGCGCAAGUGACGGUACCUGGAGAAGAAGCACCGGCUAACUACGUG